CUACGGGGGGCUGCAGUGGGGAAUCUUAGACAAUGGGCGCAAGCCUGAUCUAGCCAUGCCGCGUGAGUGAUGAAGGCCUUAGGGUCGUGAAGCUCUUUCGCUGGGGAAGAUAAUGACGGUACCCAGUAAAGAAACCCCGGCUAACUCCGUGCCAGCAGCCGCGGUAAUACGGAGGGGGUUAGCGUUGUUCGGAAUUACUGGGCGUAAAGCGCGCGUAGGCGGACUGUUAAGUCGGGGGUGAAAUCCCGGGGCUCAACCCCGGAACGGCCUUCGAUACUGGCAGUCUGGAGUUCGAGAGAGGUGAGUGGAAUUCCGAGUGUAGAGGUGAAAUUCGUAGAUAUUCGGAGGAACACCAGUGGCGAAGGCGGCUCACUGGCUCGAUACUGACGCUGAGGUGCGAAAGUGUGGGGAGCAAACAGGAUUAGAUACCCGGGUAGUC
This 439-nucleotide ribosomal RNA is filed under the name uncultured bacterium. RNAcentral's name for it is "partial 16S ribosomal RNA". It matches the Rfam family "Bacterial small subunit ribosomal RNA", at positions 339 to 795 of the family's 1533-position model. The record is from RNAcentral.